UACGAAGGGGGCUAGCGUUGCUCGGAAUUACUGGGCGUAAAGGGCGCGUAGGCGGCACUGUUAGUCAGGCGUGAAAGUCCUGGGCUCAACCUGGGAACUGCGCUUGAUACGGCAGAGCUAGAGGAUGGAAGAGGGUCGCGGAAUUCCCAGUGUAGAGGUGAAAUUCGUAGAUAUUAGGAAGAACACCGGUGGCGAAGGCGGCGACCUGGUCCAUUACUGACGCUGAGGCGCGACAGCGUGGGGAGCAAACAGG
This 253-nucleotide ribosomal RNA is filed under the name uncultured bacterium. RNAcentral's name for it is "partial 16S ribosomal RNA". It matches the Rfam family "Bacterial small subunit ribosomal RNA", at positions 524 to 776 of the family's 1533-position model. The record is from RNAcentral.